This 252-nucleotide ribosomal RNA is filed under the name uncultured bacterium. RNAcentral's name for it is "partial 16S ribosomal RNA". It matches the Rfam family "Bacterial small subunit ribosomal RNA", at positions 524 to 776 of the family's 1533-position model. The record is from RNAcentral.
UACGAAGGGGGGCUAGCGUUGCUCGGAAUUACUGGGCGUAAAGGGCGCGUAGGCGGAUGUUUAAGUCGGGGGUGAAAGCCCGGGGCUCAACCUCGAAUGCCUUCGAUACUGGACAUCUUGAGUACGGGAGAGGUGAGUGGAACUCCGAGUGUAGAGGUGAAAUUCGUAGAUAUUCGGAAGAACACCAGUGGCGAAGGCGACUCACUGGCCCGUUACUGACGCUGAGGCGCGAAAGCGUGGGGAGCAAACAGG